This 1512-nucleotide ribosomal RNA is filed under the name Escherichia coli. RNAcentral describes it as "bacterial LSU rRNA". It matches the Rfam family "Bacterial large subunit ribosomal RNA", at positions 1 to 1549 of the family's 2925-position model. Lineage: Bacteria; Pseudomonadati; Pseudomonadota; Gammaproteobacteria; Enterobacterales; Enterobacteriaceae. The record is from RNAcentral.
GGGUUGUGAGGUUAAGCGACUAAGCGUACACGGUGGAUGCCCUGGCAGUCAGAGGCGAUGAAGGACGUGCUAAUCUGCGAUAAGCGUCGGUGAGGUGAUAUGAACCGUUAUAACCGGCGAUUUCCGAAUGGGGAAACCCAGUGUGUUUCGACACACUAUCAUUAACUGAAUCCAUAGGUUAAUGAGGCGAACCGGGGGAACUGAAACAUCUAAGUACCCCGAGGAAAAGAAAUCAACCGAGAUUCCCCCAGUAGCGGCGAGCGAACGGGGAGGAGCCCAGAGCCUGAAUCAGUGUGUGUGUUAGUGGAAGCGUCUGGAAAGGCGCGCGAUACAGGGUGACAGCCCCGUACACAAAAAUGCACAUAUUGUGAGCUCGAUGAGUAGGGCGGGACACGUGGUAUCCUGUCUGAAUAUGGGGGGACCAUCCUCCAAGGCUAAAUACUCCUGACUGACCGAUAGUGAACCAGUACCGUGAGGGAAAGGCGAAAAGAACCCCGGCGAGGGGAGUGAAAAAGAACCUGAAACCGUGUACGUACAAGCAGUGGGAGCCUCUUAAUGGGGUGACUGCGUACCUUUUGUAUAAUGGGUCAGCGACUUAUAUUCUGUAGCAAGGUUAACCGAAUAGGGGAGCCGAAGGGAAACCGAGUCUUAACUGGGCGUUAAGUUGCAGGGUAUAGACCCGAAACCCGGUGAUCUAGCCAUGGGCAGGUUGAAGGUUGGGUAACACUAACUGGAGGACCGAACCGACUAAUGUUGAAAAAUUAGCGGAUGACUUGUGGCUGGGGGUGAAAGGCCAAUCAAACCGGGAGAUAGCUGGUUCUCCCCGAAAGCUAUUUAGGUAGCGCCUCGUGAAUUCAUCUCCGGGGGUAGAGCACUGUUUCGGCAAGGGGGUCAUCCCGACUUACCAACCCGAUGCAAACUGCGAAUACCGGAGAAUGUUAUCACGGGAGACACACGGCGGGUGCUAACGUCCGUCGUGAAGAGGGAAACAACCCAGACCGCCAGCUAAGGUCCCAAAGUCAUGGUUAAGUGGGAAACGAUGUGGGAAGGCCCAGACAGCCAGGAUGUUGGCUUAGAAGCAGCCAUCAUUUAAAGAAAGCGUAAUAGCUCACUGGUCGAGUCGGCCUGCGCGGAAGAUGUAACGGGGCUAAACCAUGCACCGAAGCUGCGGCAGCGACACUAUGUGUUGUUGGGUAGGGGAGCGUUCUGUAAGCCUGUGAAGGUGGCCUGUGAGGGUUGCUGGAGGUAUCAGAAGUGCGAAUGCUGACAUAAGUAACGAUAAAGCGGGUGAAAAGCCCGCUCGCCGGAAGACCAAGGGUUCCUGUCCAACGUUAAUCGGGGCAGGGUGAGUCGACCCCUAAGGCGAGGCCGAAAGGCGUAGUCGAUGGGAAACAGGUUAAUAUUCCUGUACUUGGUGUUACUGCGAAGGGGGGACGGAGAAGGCUAUGUUGGCCGGGCGACGGUUGUCCCGGUUUAAGCGUGUAGGCUGGUUUUCCAGGCAAAUCCGGAAAA